CCACGCUUGCUGGAUCUUAGUGGCGAACGGGUGAGUAAUACGUAAAUAAUCUGCCCAUUGGACUGGGAUAACUGUUGGAAACGAUAGCUAAUACCGGAUAGGUGAUUUGAAGGCAUCUUCGAAUCAUUAAAGUAGGGUCACUACACCAAUGGAUGAGUUUAUGGCGCAUUAGUUAGUUGGCGGGGUAACGGCCCACCAAGACGAUGAUGCGUAGCCGACCUGAGAGGGUGACCGGCCACACUGGGACUGAGACACGGCCCAGACUCCUACGGGAGGCAGCAGUAGGGAAUUUUCGGCAAUGGGCGCAAGCCUGACCGAGCAACGCCGCGUGAGUGAUUAAGGCCUUCGGGUUGUAAAGCUCUGUUGUAAGGGAAGAACAUUCAGGAUAGGAAAUGAUCUUGAACUGACGGUACCUUACCAGAAAGCCACGGCUAACUACGUGCCAGCAGCCGCGGUAAUACGUAGGUGGCAAGCGUUAUCCGGAAUUAUUGGGCGUAAAGGGUGCGUAGGCGGUUUAUUAAGUCUAUGGUGAAAGUGCGGGGCUCAACCCCGUAUGGCCAUAGAAACUAGUAGACUUGAGUGCAGGAGAGGGCAAUGGAAUUCCACGUGUAGCGGUAAAAUGCGUAGAUAUGUGGAGGAACACCAGUGGCGAAGGCGGUUGCCUGGCCUGUAACUGACGCUGAGGCACGAAAGCGUGGGGAGCAAAUAGGAUUAGAUACGCUAGUAGUCCACGCUGUAAACGAUGAAUACUAAGUGUUGGAGAAAUUCAGUGCUGCAGUUAACGCAAUAAGUAUUCCGCCUGGGGAGUAUGCACGCAAGUGUGAAACUCAAAGGAAUUGACGGGACCCCGCACAAGCGGUGGAUUAUGUUGUUUAAUUCGACGC
Molecule: ribosomal RNA, 884 nt
Filed under: uncultured bacterium
Lineage: Bacteria
Description: bacterial SSU rRNA
Rfam family: Bacterial small subunit ribosomal RNA
Source: RNAcentral